Non-coding RNA from Arabis alpina (gray rockcress), 100 nucleotides. Lineage: Eukaryota; Viridiplantae; Streptophyta; Magnoliopsida; Brassicales; Brassicaceae. The record is from Rfam.
GUGCGUUGAGUACAAAGCCAACUAUUCUUUCGCCUUUUACUAAACAAUACCGUGUGCUCUCCACGCCUAUCUUUGGAGUGAUCUCACUCUAUAGUGGGAC